UGAGUUGAUAUUGCAUUGCCUCCUUAUUAAGGAUUCAGUUAGCAUAAAAUUUGAACCGGUAUAAUUGAGUUUCAACAUUAAUUAAUGUGGAAAAAAUAUGCAUGGCGGAAAAUCUAGCUCAAAAUUCAAUUCCAGAAAUGAACAAGUUAUAUUCAUAUGUUCUACAGUAAAUCAUGGCAUGAACAGCUAUCUGGCUAAGACAAUGUAACAUCCCGUUUUAAGUUUUGAAUUGAGAAAUAAUAGUUCGAAAAUUCGGGCAGUCACAGAUAAAUAAUUAGGUAACACAUUACAAGUAAGCAAAGCAAAAAGAAUCAGAAAUGAGUAAGAGCCGAAGUUGAGGCUGCCAAGUGAAUCAGUCUUAACUCAACUCAUCAUCUGCAUUACCUUGUCAAUAACAAGCUUUGUCACGAUCAUUGCAAAAAUAAAUUUCAUUAAGGUGGCCCUGGCCGUGUGAACAUUGCCACCUUAUGUCCCUUAUGGCUCGGAGAAGAAGGGGGAGCUUUCCGUCCUUUAACUAGCAUGGGAAAGAUAUCCUUCUCCACAUGAUGCCUCUGCGUUCGCAAAUUCAACGAUGCCAAUACGGAUCUUCUGUCGAAAUUUUGUGACAUGUUUAUUGUCCGAGCUCCAGAGAUGCUUAGAACCAAGUCUGCGAGCAUUAAUAUGAACAACAAUUUGGUUCUGAAGGAGAAAAUUGGCGAUUUAUUGAAGGUAGACAUGUAGAUUUGAAGCAACAGAAUGGAUGAAUGUUGUUGUCUUGGUUGAAAUGUGGAGAGGUGCAGAGCCUAAGCUGAGACAUAAACUAGGGGGUAAAGAAUAGAAAGGGUGAAGUGCUUUCGUGUAUAUUUCAAUGCGGCAUGGCCG
Molecule: long non-coding RNA, 861 nt
Filed under: Daucus carota (carrot)
Lineage: Eukaryota; Viridiplantae; Streptophyta; Magnoliopsida; Apiales; Apiaceae
Description: long non-coding RNA (DCAR_LNC001030)
Source: RNAcentral